This 253-nucleotide ribosomal RNA is filed under the name uncultured bacterium. Its description in RNAcentral is "partial 16S ribosomal RNA". It matches the Rfam family "Bacterial small subunit ribosomal RNA", at positions 524 to 776 of the family's 1533-position model. The record is from RNAcentral.
UACAGAGGUGGCAAGCGUUGUUCGGAAUUACUGGGCGUAAAGGGCGCGUAGGCGGCCUUCUAAGUCAGACGUGAAAUCCCCCGGCUUAACCUGGGAACUGCGUCUGAUACUGGGAGGCUUGAGUAUGGGAGAGGGAUGUAGAAUUCCAGGUGUAGCGGUGAAAUGCGUAGAUAUCUGGAGGAAUACCGGUGGCGAAGGCGGCAUCCUGGACCAUAACUGACGCUGAGGCGCGAAAGCGUGGGGAGCGAACGGG